RNAcentral lists this ribosomal RNA (514 nucleotides) under uncultured bacterium. RNAcentral describes it as "bacterial SSU rRNA". It matches the Rfam family "Bacterial small subunit ribosomal RNA", at positions 1 to 525 of the family's 1533-position model. The record is from RNAcentral.
UAGAGUUUGAUCAUGGCUCAGGAUGAACGCUGGCGGCGUGUCUAAGGCAUGCAAGUCGAACGCGUGUAGCAAUACACGAGUGGCAAACGGGUGAGUAACACAUUGGUAACCUACCCCAAAGUGUGGAACAACCCUCCGAAAGGAGGGCUAAUACCACAUGUGGUUUUCUGGCAUAUGUCAGAAAAAGAAAGGCUCGAAAGAGUCGCUUUGGGAGGGGCCUAUGGCUUAUCAGCUAGUUGGUAGGGUAACGGCCUACCAAGGCUAUGACGAGUAGCGGGCGUGAGAGCGCGACCCGCCUCAGUGGAACUGAGACACUGUCCACACUCCUACGGGAGGCUGCAGUCGAGAAUAUUCCCCAAUGGACGAAAGUCUGAGGGAGCGACGCCGCGUGCAGGAUGAAGGCCUUCGGGUUGUAAACUGCUUUUAUAAAGGGAUAAACCCUCGCUCGUGAGCGAGGCUGAAGGUACUUUAUGAAUAAGCACCGGCUAACUCCGUGCCAGCAGCCGCGGUAAUA